This 253-nucleotide ribosomal RNA is filed under the name uncultured prokaryote. RNAcentral's name for it is "partial 16S ribosomal RNA". It matches the Rfam family "Bacterial small subunit ribosomal RNA", at positions 524 to 776 of the family's 1533-position model. The record is from RNAcentral.
GACGGGGGAUGCGAGCGUUAUCCGGAAUGAUUGGGCGUAAAGGGUCCGCAGGUGGCCCGGUCAGUCCGCUGUCAAAGCCUGGGGCUCAACCCUGGAAAGGCGGCGGAGACCACCGGGCUUGAGUCCGGUAGGGGCAGAGGGAAUUCCCGGUGGAGCGGUGAAAUGCGUAGAUAUCGGGAGGAACACCUGAGGCGAAGGCGGGCUACUGGGCUGAUACUGACGCUGAGGCGCGAAAGCCAGGGGAGCGAACGGG